Camellia sinensis is the source of this 432-nucleotide non-coding RNA. The record is from RefSeq and is a predicted model, not a curated record. Lineage: Eukaryota; Viridiplantae; Streptophyta; Magnoliopsida; Ericales; Theaceae.
UUUGUUUCUGAUUUUCAAAUUUUGAAAUCUGACCCACCUUCUCUCUCUCUCUCUCUCUCCCCAUCAUCCCUUGCAGGCAACCAAACCAAAACCCUUAUUAGUUCUUCAUCUUCUCUCUUCCUCCCUUCUCUCUUCAUAAUCGUCAUCUUCUCUCUUCCGACCGAAUGGAUCAACUAUAUAUAUGACUCAGAGAUAGGAGAUUCAGAGAUUCAGAGAUGGGACCGAAUGUAUGUAUAUAAAUGCAUUUGUUGUCAUAUCUUAUUCUCCGAGUUUUGAACCAUAACAUCGUGCAAGAUCAUGCUUGAUCCACAAGGGGUGAGUAAGGGUUCUGGUUUUGUGGCCUUCUCAACCUCCGUGGAAGCUACAAGAGCUUUGAAUGCGAUGAAUGGCAAGAUGAUUGGACAUAAACCUUUUAUUGUUGCCGUGGCCCAG